RNAcentral lists this long non-coding RNA (3131 nucleotides) under Gossypium barbadense (sea-island cotton). RNAcentral describes it as "long non-coding RNA (GBAR_LNC000903)". Lineage: Eukaryota; Viridiplantae; Streptophyta; Magnoliopsida; Malvales; Malvaceae. The record is from RNAcentral.
AUGAAAUUCGUCACUGAAUAUUCUGUCUUCAAAGUCUCAGUUCUAGAUUCUAUUCAUAGCAAUUCGGGUAAGUCCCUGCCUUGUUAGGAUUGAUCGUCCCAAAAGCUAGGUUCGCUUGCAUGUGCAAAAUCUGUAUGCUUUGUUAGUAAUUUUCUUGUUUAUUGCGAACCAACCAGACCAUCUUCUAACAAGGACAAAGGUAAAGCCAAAUUCAUUUAAGUUUCUUCGUUUCCGGCGAGUGGUCUGAGAUUAUUUCGAUUAUGUUCUUUAUUAUGUUAACCGUAAUGUUUUCUAAAAAGGAAUCUCUAAUUUCGAAACCCAAAAGUAAGUUUUUUGAAAAGUUCUGUUUAAGCUACGAAACUAUAUUUUAAAAGUAUAAUUUUGAAAGGAUGAUUUUAAACCACAAUUUUAUGCGAGCGCCUAUACGAUCCAAUGUUUUAAGAAUGUUUUGAAAAGAACGGUUUUUAAACUGUUUUAAAGGCAAUUAACGUGCAAGCUUUUAUAAGCAAAUGUUUUUCAAUUCACUUUAUGCGAGCUCCCUAUUAAAGCUCAGCUUUGUACGAGCUCUCUCAUUUGUGUGAGCUCCUUUGAGAGCUUUCUGAUUGGUAUACCAAAAAGUGUGAGUACUCACUAAGCUUUUGUUUCAUUCUACGUGUUCCUUUGAGAACAAGGUUGGGUAUUUAUAUAUCCAACGAGACGAAGUUUUGCUCCUCAGUGAGCCUAGCUCUAUAUAUGAGUUUUCUGUGAUAUGUUUCAUUCUACGUGCUCUCUUGCAAACUAGGUUGGAUAUAAACAUAUUCAACGAGAGAAAGACUCUGUUUGACGAACCAAUCGUGCGACCAAAGGCUGACUCUAUUCGAGAUUUUGAUACGUGUGAAUUGGUCCUGCAACCGAAGCCAAACCUUGUUUAAAGUUUUCUGAAAAUUAUGUACGAGCUGGCUUCGCGGCCUAAGGCGAGCCCCUUUUAAAGCAAGUUUUCAAAGAAAUGAUUAAUAAGCAUCGUUUUUUUUUUAAAUUGUUUCCACAAAAGAUGUUUUUCUGAUGAAAGAUGCGAAAUGGGUCACGCCAUCUUACCCACGAACCCAGCACGCAGAACGUUUACAAACUAAAGUUUCUACUGUUUUCAAACACUAUUUUUAAAGCAUAACGUUUCUGAUUAUUCACUGAGUUCUCAAUGAACUCACCCACUUUUUUCUUACUUCUCAAGUAAGUCACGGAUAGCAUUGGCGAGGUCGACACUAAUAUUGGUGAACCAUAGCGAUGGGCGAUGGGACUUUAUUAUGUUGUUUAGAACAAUAUUUAUAUCGUUGAUUUGAUUACUGAACAAUUUACUUAAAGUUGAAUUUAGUAUGUUUUAUUUUUAAGUUAAUUUUAUUCAUGCGAACAAACAUAUGUUCUAUUUCCAUUAUUAAUAAAUCGAUGUUAUUCAUACAUGUGUAUUUUCGUGGUUUGUGAACCACGUAUGUUGCAUAAAUUACUUGUGUACUCUUGGUGUUAAUUUAUUUACAUGUGAACCACUGUAUGCUGAUUACAAACGUACCCCUAUUGUGAUAGUUUUAUUACAUGAGGGACCCUAGGUAUGGUUACCAUAUUUACAUGCAUACCCUUAUCUUUGCAAACCCUUACAUGUUUCUGAGAACCCUGUUUAAGUGUAAUAUUCCUUGUUGCAUGCAUGUUUUCCUUGUUUGCAAAGACUAAUAAUUAGUGAAACUAUGAUUUAUGAGAAUUUUAGGUGUUAUGUGAACUGUUGUGGACUUAAAAGUUUUAUAUCCUUGUAUGCGAACUAUUAUAUCUUGCGAAUUCAUGUUUUUGUGCGAACCUAUAUUGAACUGUGAACUCAUGUUUGUGUGUUGGCCUACGAUCUCUUAUGAUUUUAAGGUAUGCGAGCUAUGUUUGAAUGUUAUGUGAAAGGUUUAAGUGAUGUGAAACUGUAAAUGUUUCUAAGUAUAUAACAAUCAUCGUUUUGCAUGAUUAUGUACUUUGAUCUAUUUUGCAUGCAAACCCUUGUGUUAUAUGAAUGCAUCACUUCCAUUGCUUUGUUAAAGUUUAAACACCUUAUUCGCAUGCUAUCUCUAAGUGGUGUGUUGGAGGUUAGGUUAGGAGUUAACGGAGAGUCACAUCGGUGGUUAAUGUGACACGCUGGAUUCGGGUCAAAUCUUCUCAGUCGGGUAUGAGGUGUUACAGGGACUUACAAAUUCACUAGGUUGAUAGCCAAAUAGUCUCUAGUUAAUUUAAGUAGCCAAGGCAUCACUAGAUAGGAUAUCGCAACCACUAGCCAAACAUAUAUUGCCGUGAGCGCUUUAUCAUUCAAUUUCAAGUAUAACUUGCAAAUCAAUGCAAUACAAUUUCAUAAACAACAAUCAGCUAUACAGAUAACAAAAUUAGGAAAACUAAUGGCACUCGAACUAGUAUCAAAUUUUCAUUCUGCACCUAAGCAGAUUUCUUUGUUUAAAGCGACCCCUGAAAUAUGUAACAUAUUUUAAUCCCAUUCUUAAUGCGUUUUUUGAUGAUUAAUUAUGCAAAUUAGUGAAUUUGAUGCUCAUAAUCCUUUACAUUCAUGUUUUUAUUCUUAGGAGAGCAUUUGAGACCGAAAGGAGCGAAAAACAAGCCAAAAAGGACAAAUAGAGUUGUUUUCAGGAUCCACACGGCCUGGGCAUUUCCACACGGGUAAGCCACACGCCCGUAUGAGCCACAUGGGCUGGCCACACGCCCAUGUGCCAACCCGUGUCGAUUUUGCACCCUGCUUCCAAAAUACGCAGAAAAACUCAAUUUUUAGGCUUUUUGAGCAUUCCAAAGUUUAUAAAUAGCAAUUAAAAGAGGACCUAAGGGGGCAAUCAGAGGAGAUCGAAGAAAACACUCAAAGAAUGCCAUCAAAAUCAACUCGGAAGUGGAACCCCCUCAAGAUCAAAGAUCUCUAUUUAAUUUCUUUUGAAGUUUUAUUGAGUUUCUGUUAUGUCUUGUGGUUAUCCUAACUUUGAGAUAUUUCUAUUUAGGAUUAUGAACUAAUCUAGAUACCUAGGGAGGAUGAAACCUAUGAUGAAUUCUAUGAUGAAUGUUAUUAUUUAAUUUCUGUUUUUAUGUAAUAAAUACUUGAUUCUUGUUCUCAAUUAUGUAUGCUUAUUUCGUGUUUU